CUGAACUUGAGGAAUGGACGUUCUCAACGUGGAGAACCCUAAACCGCAACCUGCCCCACCCAGUGCUUUCCUGCCUGUCUCUGGACACAUCCCUUUCGGACGCACAUGGAACAUAAAUUCUGAGGGAGCUGAGGACACAUACCUUUGGAUCUCUGUGCCAUCAUACAAGAAGAGUGGUUACCUUGAGGCCACCAUGUUGGGAACACCAUGUGGAGAUAGAGAACAAGGUUUGAGGAGGCCCAGCUGUGGGAGUGUUUGCAGCCCAGAAGACCUGACAGCCAAGUGGCCUUUGAGAUGGUCUCAUCUCCAACCACUGUCUGGCUGUGAUUACAUUACAGACUCUGAGUGAGACACUACUAAGCUGAGCUCAGUCAAACUCCCAGACUGCGAGAGAAUAACAAGCAUGAAGACUGUCUAUACAUGAGCCACUGUGGCAAUUUUUCUGAAGUCUACCUCAAGUUGUCUAGCUUAGGCAUACAACAAAUACUCAAAGACAAUCAUGAUGAACUAGAAUUUAAC
This is a long non-coding RNA of Mustela erminea (ermine), 519 nucleotides long. RefSeq lists it as uncharacterized. The record is from RefSeq and is a predicted model, not a curated record. Lineage: Eukaryota; Metazoa; Chordata; Mammalia; Carnivora; Mustelidae. The transcript is spliced from 3 exons.